GAUGAACGCUGGCGGCGUGCCUAAUACAUGCAAGUCGAGCGAACGGACGAGAAGCUUGCUUUUCUGAUGUUAGCGGCGGACGGGUGAGUAACACGUGGAUAACCUACCUAUAAGACUGGGAUAACUUCGGGAAACCGGAGCUAAUACCGGAUAAUAUUUUGAACCGCAUGGUUCAAAAGUGAAAGACGGUCUUGCUGUCACUUAUAGAUGGAUCCGCGCUGCAUUAGCUAGUUGGUAAGGUAACGGCUUACCAAGGCAUCGAUGCAUAGCCGACCUGAGAGGGGGAUCGGCCACACAGGAACGGAGGCACGGUCCAGACGCCUACGGGAGGCAGCAGUAGGGAAUCUUCAGCAAUGGGCGAAAGCCUGACGGAGCAACGCCGCGUGAGUGAUGAAGGUCUUCGGAUCGUAAAACUCUGUGAUUAGGGAAGAACAUAGGUGUAAGUAACUGUGCACAUCUUGACGGUACCUAAUCAGAAAGCCACGGCUAACUACGUG
Molecule: ribosomal RNA, 497 nt
Filed under: uncultured bacterium
Lineage: Bacteria
Description: partial 16S ribosomal RNA
Rfam family: Bacterial small subunit ribosomal RNA
Source: RNAcentral